GACGAACGCUGGCGGCGUGCCUAAUACAUGCAAGUAGAACGCUGAAGGAGGAGCUUGCUUCUCCGGAUGAGUUGCGAACGGGUGAGUAACGCGUAGGUAACCUGCCUGGUAGCGGGGGAUAACUAUUGGAAACGAUAGCUAAUACCGCAUAAUAGCAGUUAUUGCAUGAUAACUGUUUGAAAGGUGCAAUUGCACCACUACCAGAUGGACCUGCGUUGUAUUAGCUAGUUGGUGGGGUAACGGCUCACCAAGGCGACGAUACAUAGCCGACCUGAGAGGGUGAUCGGCCACACUGGGACUGAGACACGGCCCAGACUCCUACGGGAGGCAGCAGUAGGGAAUCUUCGGCAAUGGACGGAAGUCUGACCGAGCAACGCCGCGUGAGUGAAGAAGGUUUUCGGAUCGUAAAGCUCUGUUGUAAGAGAAGAACGAGUGUGAGAGUGGAAAGUUCACACUGUGACGGUAUCUUACCAGAAAGGCGGCU
RNAcentral lists this ribosomal RNA (484 nucleotides) under Streptococcus mitis. Its description in RNAcentral is "bacterial SSU rRNA". It matches the Rfam family "Bacterial small subunit ribosomal RNA", at positions 28 to 498 of the family's 1533-position model. Lineage: Bacteria; Bacillati; Bacillota; Bacilli; Lactobacillales; Streptococcaceae. The record is from RNAcentral.